RNAcentral lists this ribosomal RNA (654 nucleotides) under uncultured bacterium. RNAcentral describes it as "bacterial SSU rRNA". It matches the Rfam family "Bacterial small subunit ribosomal RNA", at positions 99 to 769 of the family's 1533-position model. The record is from RNAcentral.
CGGACGGGUGAGUAACGCGUAAAGAACUUGCCCUUUAGACUGGGAUAACAGAGGGAAACUUCUGAUAAUACUGGAUAAGUUAGUAUAUCGCAUGAUAUGCAAAUGAAAGCUACGGCACUAAAGGAGAGCUUUGCGUCCUAUUAGCUAGUUGGUAAGGUAAGAGCUUACCAAGGCGAUGAUAGGUAGCCGGCCUGAGAGGGUGGACGGCCACAAGGGGACUGAGAUACGGCCCUUACUCCUACGGGAGGCAGCAGUGGGGAAUAUUGGACAAUGGAGGGAACUCUGAUCCAGCAAUUCUGUGUGUGUGAAGAAGGUUUUAGGACUGUAAAACACUUUUAGUAGGGAAGAAAAAAAUGACGGUACCUACAGAAGAAGCAACGGCUAAAUACGUGCCAGCAGCCGCGGUAAUACGUAUGUUGCGAGCGUUAUCCGGAAUUAUUGGGCUUAAAGGGCAUCUAGGCGGUAAGACAAGUUGAAGGUGAAAACCUGUGGCUCAACCAUAGGCUUGCCUACAAAACUGUUGAACUAGAGUACUGGAAAGGUGGGUGGAACUACACGAGUAGAGGUGGAAUUCGUAGAUAUGUGUAGGAAUGCCGAUGAUGAAGAUAACUCACUGGACAGAAACUGACGCUGAAGUGCGAAAGCUAGGGGAGC